This is a long non-coding RNA of Triticum aestivum (bread wheat), 1617 nucleotides long. RefSeq lists it as uncharacterized. The record is from RefSeq and is a predicted model, not a curated record. The transcript has 3 exons. Lineage: Eukaryota; Viridiplantae; Streptophyta; Magnoliopsida; Poales; Poaceae.
AGCUACCCUUCCUGGAUAACUAUUUUAGUACCUGUUUUUAUUUACUAAUGAGAACUAAAUAAAUUGGCUACUGUCAUGUUUCUCCCUUAAAAAAAGAUUCUGCUAGAUGUGCUUGACAAUAAUAAUGGUAAUACCUAAAGGUGUUCUCUUGCUCCAAGUUAGCGCCUAUAUAUUCUUAGCUACCAUGUACUUGGGUUACUGGUUUGUGUUAAGGAUUCCGCUACUGUUGCCAAGGUAUCUACAGAAUUUUGUUAUAGUACUAGCUGAACAGAAAAAGAGAUGGCCGCCAAACCUCAAAAAAUAUCAAUCGGCUAUUAAUUUACUAGACUCUAUUUCAGUCUAAUUAGUGGAGACUUAGAGAGUGGAAAAAAUGUUUAAAAAACCUAAUAUAAAAAUAUGAAAUAUUUAGUUAUUCUCUAUAUCCGAGAAAGCAAUAAAGAACUUUGUGUUAGGCAGUGCACUGCGGGAGCGUGUACUGCGACUAUUUCUGCACUGCCGAUGAAGGCUUGAUCUUUCCCACAGGUCCACCUUCUUUACCUUUCCGUUCUUUGAACUGGAUAAGUUCUGAUAUUCUAACAUUGAUGGAAAAUCAUUAUCUUCUGUAAAGCCACAUUUCAUUUUAUGAUUUUUAGCAGAAGCUCGCUUCGAGGUCUUGGUGUGGGGCUGCUGGGGAAGGGAAUGUCCUUCUACUUAGUGAAAGUCGUUGUUGCUGAGGCUGAUUUUACCUUCUUUCUAAGUGUUCUAUUUUAUUAGUGCAAUUGGUUCGAGUUAAACUAACAUCCAUCGUACAAAUAUUUGUGGGACAUAUUCAGGUAAAUUUACCAUGUUCUGUUUUCAUUACCCAGCGCUAAAAUGUAGAUGUUAUGAUGACCAAUGACCAUAAACUUUUCUCAAGAAAUCUGGAAAGAAGCGAGGAUUCUCAAGUAAGAUAAGUCUGCUUACAAAAAUUUGCCUACUGGAAAGUAGAUAAGAGACUCAUGAAGUAAGAAUACAUGCCUACAUAUUAUACAUAGCAGGCUUCUGACUUCUCUGAUUCUGCAAGCCUUGAGGCUGUGAAACAUCUAUGCUAGGUCGCCACACUUCUGCCACCUUCAUUUGAUGAGGUUCAGCAUUCACUACUAUGAAAGAAGAAGGCAUAUAUUUUCCUUGUGGAAUUUCCAGUAGAAUGGCAGUGAGAACGAGUAAAAAUCUACAACAGUAUGACUGUAUGGUUCUCACUCAAAGUAGAGGCCCAACAAACUUUUUUGAAGUAGGAGUCGAAAACUACAAAUCCAUCUAUUCCUAGAAUGGAGCUGGUUGGACUUGAGCCUACAAUUGAGCGGGUAGUUCGGUGGCACCGACAUCCAGCUGAAAGUUUUAUAGGAGGGUUAGUAAAGCAAAUUUGUUCAUGAGGAAAUGUGCCAGCAAAACAUUGAGUCAGAGUGCAAGACAAAUGCUCUUAACAGUUUUUUUGGUCACUUUUCUUUAAUUACAAUUCUUAUUAUUUUUAGUUGGCAUUGAUGUACAAAAGAAAAUCCUGUGCCUUUUUUUUCUCUCAUUGACCAUUGUAUUUUUGAGUCAUAUCAGUCUAUGUAAAAGAAUUCAGUACCUUAUGUUUUGUAUAUUUGGAAAUGUCUA